GAUGAACGCUGGCGGCGUGCCUAAUACAUGCAAGUCGAGCGAACGGACGAGAAGCUUGCUUUUCUGAUGUUAGCGGCGGACGGGUGAGUAACACGUGGAUAACCUACCUAUAAGACUGGGAUAACUUCGGGAAACCGGAGCUAAUACCGGAUGAUAUUUUUAACCGCAUGGUUCAAAAGUGAAAGACGGUCUUGCUGUCACUUAUAGAUGGAUCCGCGCUGCAUUAGCGAGUUGGUAAGGUAACGGCUUACCAAGGCAACGAUGCAUAGCCGACCUGAGAGGGUGAUCGGGCACACUGGAACUGAGACACGGUCCAGACUCCUACGGGAGGCAGCAGUAGGGAAUCUUCCGCGAUGGGCGAAAGCCUGACGGAUCAACGCCGCGCGAGUGAUGAAGGUCUUCGGAUCGUAAAACUCUGUUAUUAGGGAAGAACAUAUGUGUAAGUAACUGUGCACAUCUUGACGGUACCUAAUCAGAAAGCCACGGCUAACUACGUG
This 497-nucleotide ribosomal RNA is filed under the name uncultured bacterium. RNAcentral's name for it is "partial 16S ribosomal RNA". It matches the Rfam family "Bacterial small subunit ribosomal RNA", at positions 28 to 507 of the family's 1533-position model. The record is from RNAcentral.